GUGCUGAUAGCUCAGUCAGUACAGCACGAGACUCUGAAUCUCAGGGUCGUGGGUUCGAGCCCCACGUUGGACG
Podarcis lilfordi (Lilford's wall lizard) is the source of this 73-nucleotide non-coding RNA. The record is from the annotation of a GenBank genome assembly. NCBI's taxonomy places the organism in Eukaryota, Metazoa, Chordata, Lepidosauria, Squamata, Lacertidae.